Molecule: ribosomal RNA, 378 nt
Filed under: Micrococcus luteus
Lineage: Bacteria; Bacillati; Actinomycetota; Actinomycetes; Micrococcales; Micrococcaceae
Description: bacterial LSU rRNA
Rfam family: Bacterial large subunit ribosomal RNA
Source: RNAcentral
AUUGUGUGUGAAAGUUUCUAAGGGCGCAUGGUGGAUGCCUUGGCAACAGGAGCCGAAGAAGGACGUGGGAUCUGCGAUAAGCCUGGUGGAGUCGAUAACCGGACGUGAGACCAGGAUUUCCGAAUGGGGGAAACCCCGCACGACGUGUCGUGUGACCCCCGGUUGAACACAUAGACCGGGUGGAGGGAACGUGGGGAAGUGAAACAUCUCAGUACCCACAGGAAGAGAAAACAAAAGUGAUUCCGUUAGUAGUGGCGAGCGAACGCGGAUGGGGCUAAACCGUAUGUGUGUGAUACCCGGCAGGGGUUUGUGCGGUGUUGUGGGCCCCUUGUCAUGUCUGCCGGCAUGGCGCAGUGAGGUGCGGGCAUAUAGACGAAC